Molecule: small nuclear RNA, 102 nt
Organism: Sorex fumeus (smoky shrew)
Lineage: Eukaryota; Metazoa; Chordata; Mammalia; Eulipotyphla; Soricidae
Source: RefSeq, a predicted model, not a curated record
GUGUGUCAAUGCACAUAUACUAAAAUUGGAACGAUACAGAGAAGAUUAGCAUGGCCGCUGUGCAAGGAUGAUAUGCAAAUUUGUGAAGCAUUCCAUAUUUUU